UACGAAGGGGGCUAGCGUUGCUCGGAAUCACUGGGCGUACAGCGCACGUAGGCGGCUUUUUAAGUCAGGGGUGAAAUCCUGGAGCUCAACUCCAGAACUGCCUUUGAUACUGAGAAGCUUGAGUCCGGGAGAGGUGAGUGGAACUGCGAGUGUAGAGGUGAAAUUCGUAGAUAUUCGCAAGAACACCAGUGGCGAAGGCGGCUCACUGGCCCGGUACUGACGCUGAGGUGCGAAAGCGUGGGGAGCAAACAGG
Molecule: ribosomal RNA, 253 nt
Filed under: uncultured bacterium
Lineage: Bacteria
Description: partial 16S ribosomal RNA
Rfam family: Bacterial small subunit ribosomal RNA
Source: RNAcentral